This 32-nucleotide small RNA is filed under the name Arabidopsis thaliana (thale cress). Its description in RNAcentral is "ATSL279530". The record is from RNAcentral. Lineage: Eukaryota; Viridiplantae; Streptophyta; Magnoliopsida; Brassicales; Brassicaceae.
UAUGUUCGUUUCGUCGCCGCUGCCGCAAGUGA